Molecule: RNA transcript, 2114 nt
Organism: Gossypium arboreum
Lineage: Eukaryota; Viridiplantae; Streptophyta; Magnoliopsida; Malvales; Malvaceae
Exons: 3
Source: RefSeq, a predicted model, not a curated record
GAAUGGUCGAAUAACGAAUCAAAUCCUUAACAGAAGCUAACCCUUUGUCUCGCCAUUAAAGCUCUCUAAAUCCUAACCAGAUUAAACUGGUUGGGCUGGUGUUGUUUCAUUAAACAAAUCGAAAGUUAAUAAGAAAAAGGAAAAAAAACCCAAACACCCCGAAAAUUUGCGAUAUAUAGCUAUUAUAUUCAUUCAGAGCGCCCCUCCCCCCAUCCCUUACAUAUAUUUUUUUGGUCGGCGUUUUUGAAGUUGAUAAUCGUGGCCGGAAAUAGACAAUAAGCUUCUGUUUUUGGUCCAUUUAUUGGGAACAAGAUACGAGAAAAAGAAGCUUAUUGUUUUGUUUUGAUUUUUUGGUUUCAUUCAUUACUUUUUUUUUUUCUUUUGGGGGUAAGGGGGGAGGGUUCCAUUGAUAAUAGAUAAAGAAAUUUAGACAUGACAAGAAAAAUGGUUGACGCCUCAUUUUUAUCUUCAUCAUCAGCAUCAAUAUAUGAGGCGGAAACUGAAGAACUUCAACAUAUGCCAUUGAAGCCAUUGAUGAAAAACAAAAAAUGUUUAUCGAAGCAAUUAUCCAUGUGCGAGACAUCCCGAGGAAUGGAUUGGGAGCGAAGGAACCGGCAGGUUGUCCGUCAAGAAAGAGGGAAAAACACGGAAGAAGGGCCACGGCUGACGGCGGUGCCAUCGUUGAUGAGAAACAGGAGAUACUUAUCCAAGCAAUUAUCAAUGUUGGAGACAUCGAGGGACAUAGCGUGGGAGAGAAGGCGACGCCAGAUUCUUCGUCAGGAAAGAGGGAAGAAUGGGAUUGCGGAGAGUAAUGGGAAUGGAUUGACGGACGAAGACUUGCAUGAACUCAAAGGUUGCAUUGAGCUUGGGUUUGGAUUCAAUGAGGAAGAGGGGCAACAGCUUUGCAAUACAUUGCCUGCUUUGGACCUUUAUUUUGCUGUAAACCGUCAGCUUUCUCCUAGUCCAGUUUCCACGCCUCAUAGCCGACGUUCUUCUUCCCUAUCAUCUCUAGGUGGCAGGUCUUCUUCUUUUGGAAGUCCUAAGAGCGAUCAAGAGUGGAAAAUUUGCAGCCCAGGGGAAGAUCCUCAGCAAGUGAAGACAAAGCUAAGGCAUUGGGCACAAGCAGUGGCAUGUUCCGUGAUGCAGUCAUAUUGAAGUAGUGGGGUUGGCUUUGUACAGAUCUAGAGUCAGACAACAAAAAAAGGAGCAAAACGAAGAGAAAGCCAGGGAACAGAGAAAGAGAUAUUGACUUCAUUAUUUUUAGGUUAUUUCUUUGAUUUAACCAUAAAAAAGAACAAUUUUAACAAAGUGGACAAACAAAGUGUCAUCAAGGGAAAAUGGUGCUGCAUUUUGGGGGCAUUCUUUUAAUGCAAAAUAUCAGAAACAUUUGGACAUGAAGAAAAGUUUGGUUAUAAACAGGAUAUGUGAUGUAUAAGCCAUUCCCAAGUAUUAAUCUGCUAAUAGUCCUAUAUAUCACUUUAUUGCGAAACGAGGACAUCAACAAUGGGUCUGAGUCAAUGAUUGGAAAGCUGAUUUUCGCAGAAAGUCGGAUCAAGAACCAGGGCCAUGGUGUUCACCCGAAUACAUGCUGGUGUCAUUAGCUUAGUUACGUAUGAUCGGGUAUCAUAUGAGCAGAGCUGAAAAAAAUCCAAGGACGAGGGUUGCAAAUGCAAAGAUUUGAAUCCUAGACUUAAACCUCAGCUUUUAGCAUUAUGUUAUAACAUCAUGCACACUCCAACACAAAGCAUAUUUCCAGAUAAUUUCAUUCCACAAAGUUUCAAGCGGAAGGUACUAAAGCAACAAUUUCAAAAAGUGACAAACGGCAACAAUUCAUAACACCAUUUCAUUCAUUGAUCUGUCUAUAGGUUCAUGUCAAAGAGGAUAUCCAGGAAGUUUAGGGUGACAAACCCUAAAAUCGAAAAAGAAAGAUGACCAAAGCUCUGAUAUCAAUCACAAGCAAGUAGUAAUCCAACUUAAAAGGUAAAGAAAAGCAAACCAAGGGGAUUAAUCCUCUUCAAGAUUGAUGGAGUCCUUGAACUUCCCAUACAAAAUCUUCUUCAACUCAGCCAUUUGUGCCAGAACCGAUUCUUUCUCCUCCUCGAGCUUUUCCAAGU